Molecule: ribosomal RNA, 304 nt
Filed under: uncultured bacterium
Lineage: Bacteria
Description: partial 16S ribosomal RNA
Rfam family: Bacterial small subunit ribosomal RNA
Source: RNAcentral
CAGCAGUCGCCACGGGAAUACGGAGGGAGCUAGCGUUAUUCGGAAUUACUGGGCGUAAAGCGCACGUAGGCGGCUUUGUAAGUUAGAGGUGAAAGCCUGGAGCUCAACUCCAGAAUUGCCUUUAAGACUGCAUCGCUUGAAUCCAGGAGAGGUGAGUGGAAUUCCGAGUGUAGAGGUGAAAUUCGUAGAUAUUCGGAAGAACACCAAUGGCGAAGGCGGCUCACUGGACUGGUAUUGACGCUGAGGUGCGAAAGCGUGGGGUGCAAACAGGAUUAGAGACCCCCGUAGUCCCUGUCUCUUAUAC